RNAcentral lists this ribosomal RNA (294 nucleotides) under uncultured bacterium. RNAcentral describes it as "partial 16S ribosomal RNA". It matches the Rfam family "Bacterial small subunit ribosomal RNA", at positions 338 to 649 of the family's 1533-position model. The record is from RNAcentral.
CCUACGGGACGCAGCAGUGGGGGAUAUUGCACAAUGGGGGCAACCCCGAUGCAGCGACGCCGCGUGAGCGAUGGAGUACUUCGGUAUGUAAAGCUCUGUCAGCAGGGAAGAGAAUGACGGUACCUGACCAAGAAGCCCCGGCUAAAUACGUGCCAGCAGCCGCGGUAAUACGUAUGGGGCAAGCGUUAUCCGGAUUUACUGGGUGUAAAGGGGGCGCAGACGGCGAUGCAAGCCAGGAGUGAAAGCCCGGGGCCCAACCCCGGGACUGCUCUUGGCACUGCGUGGCUGGAGUGC